Molecule: microRNA, 20 nt
Filed under: Corchorus olitorius
Lineage: Eukaryota; Viridiplantae; Streptophyta; Magnoliopsida; Malvales; Malvaceae
Description: gga-miR-18
Source: RNAcentral
AGGUUGUUUUGUUUUGUUCU